CUAAACUUUAAUAGGGUCACAUCGGAUGUUCGGAUGCUAAUUAGGAGGAUUAAACUUGAGCUAAUUACAAAAUUAAUUGUACAGAUGGAGUCUAAUUCGCGAAACGAAUCUAUUAAGGCUAAUUAAUCCAUCAUUAGCAAAUGGUUACUGUAGCACCAUAUUGUCAAAUCAUGGACUAAUUAGGCUUAAUAGAUUGGUGUCGCGAAUUAGACUCCAUCUAUGCAAUUAGUUUUGUACUUAGACUACGUUUAAUACUCCUAAUUAGUAUCAAAUAUCCAAUGUGACAGGUGCUAAAGUUUAGCAGGGUGUUUUCAAACAGGCUCUAAGGGCAAGUACAUUGGUGUCGUCUAAUAAGCGGUCUCAUGCAUUGACACGUAAUCUUGAGACAAUUUAACAGGCAACUUGUACAAUGGGUUGUCCUAUAAGUUGUCUGGUAGUGGUAUAUAAUUUCUUAAUUUGUGCAUAAGAAAAAUAAAAUAUUAUGAGUUGCAUGGCAACAAUAACUCGUACAAUGGUGGUUAAGUUGUCUCGUAGUCCUACAAUUUAGCUCAUGAGGUGGUUGUUUCACGAAGCAACGAUCUCUUUCUCUCUCCUCUCUCUCUCCUCCACAUCAUCAAAAAUCCUACAUGGCACUGUAUGAGACGAACUAUGAGACCGUUGACGUGUAGUAAUGUACUUGCCCUAAAUUCAUUUUAGAACUCCGCGUGUCGUAUUGCAACGUUAAUGAACGACCUACUCG
Molecule: long non-coding RNA, 739 nt
Filed under: Setaria viridis
Lineage: Eukaryota; Viridiplantae; Streptophyta; Magnoliopsida; Poales; Poaceae
Description: long non-coding RNA (SVIR_LNC009158)
Source: RNAcentral